Molecule: long non-coding RNA, 458 nt
Filed under: Salmo salar (Atlantic salmon)
Lineage: Eukaryota; Metazoa; Chordata; Actinopteri; Salmoniformes; Salmonidae
Description: lncRNA (ENSSSAG00000113756.1, ENSSSAG00020066511.1, ENSSSAG00075029300.1)
Source: RNAcentral
CGAGUGUGUAAAAAUAACUGUCACUCACACAGUUUCAAGGCUUUUCCCAUGUCAAGUUUCAGGCUGCUGUUACCUGUUCAACUCUACCACAGGAUAACAGCGUUGGCUGUAGGGGAUGUCUACCAUCAACAACCUGCAGUGAUCUAUCUGCUGUUUACACCAUCUGGUUCUGCCUGAAGAGGAUUCGUAUGUUUGCAGUCAGGCAUUUUAGAGUAAUUGUGAUUUCAAUUACAGGUCGAUGUGAAGUUUGUAAUAUUUGAAAAGAUAUACUGUAUUGAAUACAUAAUCAUGCUGACAUCCUGUGUUGGAGGCUACUCCUAAAGGACUAUUCCUUGCGUAAUUGGUCAGUUGCUCGAUUAAGUUCUGGGUCCAUACAUGUUAAGAGAAGGGAUCAAGAAUUGCUAGAACGAUGUGCGGAACAAGGAGCUCCACCCUGUCUCUUUGCUCCACCCCCCCCC